GACGAACCGAGCGAACGUUGUUCGGAAUAACUGGGCUUAAAGGGCGCGUAGGCGGGCCGCCAAGUUCGAGGUGAAAUCCUCCGGCUCAACCGGAGAACUGCCUCGAAUAUUGGAGGCCUCGAGGCGGGUAGGGGCAUGCGGAACUGUGGGUGGAGCGGUGAAAUGCGUUGAUAUCCACAGGAACUCCGGUGGCGAAGGCGGCAUGCUGGACCCGAUCUGACGCUGAGGCGCGAAAGCCAGGGGAGCAAACGGG
RNAcentral lists this ribosomal RNA (253 nucleotides) under uncultured bacterium. RNAcentral's name for it is "partial 16S ribosomal RNA". It matches the Rfam family "Bacterial small subunit ribosomal RNA", at positions 524 to 776 of the family's 1533-position model. The record is from RNAcentral.